AAAGCUGUUCCAUUUUCCUGGAUCCUGGUGGGGAACUAACAUGGCACAGAGCCACAGCCAAUCCAAGGACAGGACAUGUGGACCUGCGCUCAGCGUUCUUCACUCCACACAACACAGCUGACCCAGACAUCAUGUGCAGGAGGUACCUCCUGACAGCAGGCUUGACACCAGUUAUUGUCCAACUCCCCAGUAAACCAGAUUCCCUCAUUGCUCCUGAUGGGGUCUAGACUGAGGGAGGAGGAAGCAGGUGGGCAAUGUCCAGAUUUCCAUGAUGACCCUCUGAGGAGAUAUCCAUGGCUAGGUUACUGCACGACUACAGCAUCACAGAGGAGACUCCAGAACUCAAACUACCAAGAGCACCCCUCCAUCAGCUUUGUUUCCUAACUCCUGGCCUGCCUCCAUUCUUGUGGCGCCAUCUCACAGCCAAAUGACAACAAGCCCUCUCUGUCCCUCACAAAAUGCCUGUGAUAAAAAGUUCCCUUUGCAGCCAGACCAGCUGAGAUUGGUACAUAGAACCAAGAUAGCCGACCAAAGGACUUCAAAAAGACCUCAGUCUUCAUGAUGAUCUUAUUUCCAUGCUAAAUGAUACUCCCUCCAGCACCAUGACAGUUGACAAUUGCCAUGACAAUGACUGGAAGAAGCUGUAAAAGGACUAAAAAGGAGGCGGUACUACUGGUUCCAGGAGGUUCACCACCCAUUUCUGGAAAAGACAUGAAUAUUCUUCCCUUUUCUUUUAAUGUCAACUCCUUCAUUAGAGAAAUCCUGUAUCUUAAGCCCCUCACCCUCACUUGUUGAGAAG
This 799-nucleotide non-coding RNA is filed under the name Pongo abelii (Sumatran orangutan). Lineage: Eukaryota; Metazoa; Chordata; Mammalia; Primates; Hominidae. The record is from RNAcentral.